Molecule: ribosomal RNA, 444 nt
Filed under: uncultured bacterium
Lineage: Bacteria
Description: partial 16S ribosomal RNA
Rfam family: Bacterial small subunit ribosomal RNA
Source: RNAcentral
GUAGGGAACAUUGGGCAAUGGUCGGAAGACUGACCCAGCCAUGCCGCGUGCAGGAAGACGGCCCUCUGGGUUGUAAACUGCUUUUAUCUGGGAAGAAAAAGGCCAUGCGUGGCAAAUUGCCGGUACCAGAUGAAUAAGCACCGGCUAACUCCGUGCCAGCAGCCGCGGUAAUACGGAGGGUGCGAGCGUUGUCCGGAUUUAUUGGGUUUAAAGGGUGAGUAGGCGGCUGAUUAAGUCAGCGGUGAAAGACUUCGGCUUAACCGGAGCAGUGCCGUUGAUACUGGUUGGCUUGAGUGUCGGAGGGGUACAUGGAAUUGAUGGUGUAGCGGUGAAAUGCAUAGAUACCAUCAGGAACACCGAUAGCGAAGGCAUUGUACUGGCCGACAACUGACGCUGAUGCACGAAAGUGUGGGGAUCGAACAGGAUUAGAUACCCUGGUAGUCC